This 79-nucleotide transfer RNA is filed under the name Cordylochernes scorpioides. RNAcentral's name for it is "tRNA-Thr". The stretch from base 4 to 69 matches the Rfam family "tRNA". Rfam says of the family: Transfer RNA (tRNA) molecules are approximately 80 nucleotides in length. Their secondary structure includes four short double-helical elements and three loops (D, anti-codon, and T loops). Lineage: Eukaryota; Metazoa; Arthropoda; Arachnida; Pseudoscorpiones; Chernetidae. The record is from RNAcentral.
AAUAGGGUAGCCUAGUGGACAUGGCAUCUGCCCGGUAAGCAGACCACUGUGGGUUCGAUUCCCAUCCCUGGACACAUUU